RNAcentral lists this ribosomal RNA (253 nucleotides) under uncultured bacterium. RNAcentral's name for it is "partial 16S ribosomal RNA". It matches the Rfam family "Bacterial small subunit ribosomal RNA", at positions 524 to 776 of the family's 1533-position model. The record is from RNAcentral.
GACAGAGGUGCCAAGCGUUAGGCGGAAUCACUGGGCUUAAAGCGUGUGUAGGUGGAUUUGUAAGUACCUUGUGAAAUCCCAUGGCUCAACCAUGGAACUGCUCGGUAUACUGCGAGUCUUGAGCCACUUAGGGGCUACCGGAACAAAUGGUGGAGCGGUGAAAUGCGUAGAUAUCAUUUGGAACGCCAAUGGUGAAAACAGGUAGCUGGGAGUGUGCUGACACUGAGACACGAAAGCCAGGGGAGCGAACGGG